This 253-nucleotide ribosomal RNA is filed under the name uncultured bacterium. RNAcentral describes it as "partial 16S ribosomal RNA". It matches the Rfam family "Bacterial small subunit ribosomal RNA", at positions 524 to 776 of the family's 1533-position model. The record is from RNAcentral.
UACAGAGGAGCCAAGCGUUGUCCGGAUUGACUGGGCGUAAAGCGCACGCAGGCGGAUGCGCGCGUGGGGUGUGAAAUCUGGCCGCUUAACGGCCAGGCGCCAUCCCAUACGGCGCGUCUGGAGUGAUGCAGAGGUCGGUGGAAUUGCCGGUGUAGUGGUGAAAUGCGUAGAGAUCGGCGGGAACACCCAGGGGGAAACCAGCCGACUGGGCAUCUACUGACGCUGAGGUGCGAGAGCGUGGGGAGCGAACCGG